Molecule: ribosomal RNA, 439 nt
Filed under: uncultured bacterium
Lineage: Bacteria
Description: partial 16S ribosomal RNA
Rfam family: Bacterial small subunit ribosomal RNA
Source: RNAcentral
CUACGGGUGGCUCCAGUGAGGAAUAUUGCACAAUGGGGGGAACCCUGAUGCAGCAACGCCGCGUGGAGGAUGACGCAUUUCGGUGUGUAAACUCCUUUUAUAUGUCAAGAAAAUGACGGUAGCAUAUGAAUAAGCACCGGCUAACUCCGUGCCAGCAGCCGCGGUAAUACGGAGGGUGCAAGCGUUACUCGGGAUCACUGGGCGUAAAGGACGCGUAGGCGGGUUGGAAAGUCAGGUGUGAAAUCCUACAGCUUAACUGUAGAACUGCACUUGAAACUUCUAAUCUAGAGUAUGGGAGGGGGAGAUGGAAUUAGUGGUGUAGGGGUAAAAUCCGUAGAUAUCACUAGGAAUACCUAAAGCGAAGGCGAUCUCCUGGAACAUUACUGACGCUAAGGCGUGAAAGCGUGGGGAGCAAACAGGAUUAGAUACCCGGGUAGUC